AAGCCUGGUGCUUGCACCGGGUGGAUGAGUGGCGAACGGGUGAGUAACACGUGAGUAACCUGCCCCUGACUUCGGGAUAAGCCCGGGAAACUGGGUCUAAUACCGGAUACGACUGCCGGACGCAUGUCUGGUGGUGGAAAGUUUUUUCGGUUGGGGAUGGGCUCGCGGCCUAUCAGUUUGUUGGUGAGGUAAUGGCUCACCAAGACGACGACGGGUAGCCGGCCUGAGAGGGCGACCGGCCACACUGGGACUGAGACACGGCCCAGACUCCUACGGGAGGCAGCAGUGGGGAAUAUUGCACAAUGGGGGAAACCCUGAUGCAGCGACGCAGCGUGCGGGAUGACGGCCUUCGGGUUGUAAACCGCUUUCAGCAGGGAAGAAGCGCAAGUGACGGUACCUGCAGAAGAAGUACCGGCUAACUACGUGCCAGCAGCCGCGGUAAUACGUAGGGUACGAGCGUUGUCCGGAAUUAUUGGGCGUAAAGAGCUCGUAGGUGGUUGGUCACGUCUGCUGUGGAAACGCAACGCUUAACGUUGCGCGUGCAGUGGGUACGGGCUGACUAGAGUGCAGUAGGGGAGUCUGGAAUUCCUGGUGUAGCGGUGAAAUGCGCAGAUAUCAGGAGGAACACCGGUGGCGAAGGCGGGACUCUGGGCUGUAACUGACACUGAGGAGCGAAAGCAUGGGGAGCGAACAGGAUUAGAUACCCUGGUAGUCCAUGCCGUAAACGUUGGGCACUAGGUGUGGGGGGCAUUCCACGUUCUCCGCGCCGUAGCUAACGCAUUAAGUGCCCCGCCUGGGGAGUACGGUCGCAAGGCUAAAACUCAAAGGAAUUGACGGGGGCCCGCACAAGCGGCGGAGCAUGCGGAUUAAUUCGAUGCAACGCGAAGAACCUUACCAAGGCUUGACAUACACCGGACCGUCCUGGAAACAGGUCCUCUUCUUUGAAGCUGGUGUACAGGUGGUGCAUGGUUGUCGUCAGCUCGUGUCCUGAGAUGUUGGGUUAAGUCCCGCAACGA
RNAcentral lists this ribosomal RNA (1016 nucleotides) under uncultured bacterium. RNAcentral describes it as "bacterial SSU rRNA". It matches the Rfam family "Bacterial small subunit ribosomal RNA", at positions 69 to 1095 of the family's 1533-position model. The record is from RNAcentral.